RNAcentral lists this long non-coding RNA (4318 nucleotides) under Homo sapiens (human). RNAcentral's name for it is "HSALNT0296796". The record is from RNAcentral. Lineage: Eukaryota; Metazoa; Chordata; Mammalia; Primates; Hominidae.
UGCCCACCUCUGCCUCCCAAAGUGCUGGGAUUACAGGUGUGAGCCACCGCACCCAGUCAGCUCACUUAAUUUUCAUGGAAUACAGUGGGCAUUAUGAUCCCAAUUUUACAAGUGAGAAAACUGAGAAGGAGAGAGGUCCCCAAAGUUGCCUAAAGUCACACAGUAAGUGGUAGAGUCAGGAUUCCAGCUGAAGUCUGCUUCCAAAUCCCACCUUCUAACCGCUGCCACUAGACUGCUGUGUCUGCUGGGGUGUUAGGUCACAGGAGAAAAGAGAUAAUGGCUUUGUGACCCGGGAGCUCCGCCUUCACCUCCUCCUGCCAUCCUCAGCAUGAGCCAGCUGCAUGAGGGGUGCUGUGUGCUGGGCUGGAGGAUGGAGCCAUGUGCCACUCCCUCCGAGGCACGCUGUGAAGGUGCAAGUGGUGUGUUCUGAGAGUGCGGAGGAUGAAAACUUCUCACCCAGCUUUCUACAUUCAAGUUUACAAGUGCUGCUCAGGACCCACUGAUUAUUUCCAGGGGAAGAUCACCAAACCGCCUAAGGCCGAGACUCCCAGGAUAGCGCAGCAUGCCCCGGAGUCCCCCAGCUCGAUUUGCUCAGAACUCAGAAAGAAAACAGCCCACACUCCUUGAACUUCAGGCACUGAUGGAGGCAUUUUCCAAAGAACAGUGACAAGGACGGCCAGCACCUCUCUUGCAUUCCUCAGUCUGACUCAAGCUGCUCUUCCACCCUCCUCCCCAGCUGGAGCUGAGGCUGAAGGCAGUUGAGGGCCACCAGGGAGAAGAGCUGGGUCAGGGCCGUGACUUGCCAGCAAGCAUGAGGCCAAGCAGAUGUGCCGGAACAGCUGUGGUGACAGAGCUGUGGCCAACUGCUCCCUGGGCCGAGGGUGAAGGAAGCUGUGCUCCCACUGGUGCUAGGGAAGGCUGCUGCAGGGCUGGAGGCCUGGGUGCUGGACUGCUGGGGCAGGCUGCCUGCUGUACCCCCAAGCUGCAGUCAGGGCUCGCCCUGAGGCCCUGAGGUGGAGAGAGAGCAGCUGUCUCGUACACACCCAUGUGCACAAGUGCAGGCACACACACACACACACACACACACACAAAAGACGUUCUCACUUCAUCCCCGAAUUCUCCCUCCUACACACAAAGCUAGUUCCCAGUUCUCCAGUCCCCCUCCAUCCCUCUCCACUUCUGUAGUCUCUGCUGGGCUGCACUGGGGAUCUGGUCCCAAUUCCCCUCUCUUCCCUUGCUGCCCCUGUAACAAAGGGCUGGCCAUGUGACAUGAUCUCCUCAGGCUUCAGAGAAGUGAUUUUACCCUGAGCUACACAGGCAGGAAGACCACCAGCCUGGAAGGGCCCUUCAGCCACUUUCCCAACAAACAGCAAAUCUCCGCCGAUUGAACUCUGACUGAGGCAAUGGGGGCAUGCCAGGCAACAAGGUGGAGGUUUGCUACCGUGGGAGCAGGGAGAGCGUGGAACACAGACGCUCUGGGUGUUGAAGAGGAGGCUUCACCCUUAAAUCCACACCAACAGCCCCCUUCACUUCCCCCGGUGAAGAACGAAGGACCCUGUGGGAUUUCUACUUCAAAUCUCUCAUUUAUUCCGACAUCCACUCGGUUAUGACUCCAAGUUAUCAAAGAUGCAAGACAAGAAGUCUAGAGCAGGAGUGGUGAAGUGGAGGUGGAGAAAGACGGCGGAGAGGGCUGUGUUCCUGGCCCCUCCUUCUCUUCCAAUUUAGGGCACCGUUUGAAAAGUGUACAAGUAGUGUCCCUUAGCACAGACUAGACAGCAGAAAAGGACAGUGCAGUUGAGUGGGGGAAGCUUCCUUUUCCACAGGGUGGGGCCCUGCGGCUGCAGCGGGCAGGCAGGCAAUCUCGAGCCUGGUUGGAGACCGUGCCCUGAGCAGCGUGGGCUAUGUGGGGAAGAGCUGGGGCCCACCAUCUCUCCAGCACCCCAAACCCAGAUUCUGAUUUGUGGGGCUAGCAGGGCUUAGCUAGGAAAGCGGUAGGAGGGAGGGGAUUGCACAGGACGCUUGUACUCAGGGACCCCAUCAAUCAGGGGCAAGAAGUGGGUGAUGGUUAACUGGGUCUUGAUUUUUACAAAGGCAGGACGUACGAAUGAUGUUAUUUCUGGCAAGGAGGACACGGCUGCUGUGGUUGAUUGGCUGUGGAAUUCCAGGGGAGCAAGGCACUAGGAAGUGGGGAACGCUGCCAGGCCCAGCAGCUCAUCAGGAGCUUGCACUUGGCCCAGUUAGGGCUGGCCGUGGGACGGGCUUGUUGAAGCUGCUGCCGCCAUAAGCUGCCCCUCUGCACCAGGAGACAGAUCCCAUUACCCCACCUACAGCUGCUUCCUGGUACAAGAGAAGAGUUACCAUUUGAAAUGACUCCACAGGAGAGUCUGACAAACAUGUUUGCUUUUCACUGACAAUUAAAAUUGUUUUGCUGCUAAUCUUGUUUUAUUGUGGUCUUUCAUCCAUCAGCAAGCAUCCCUGCACGCAAGAUCAGAGUUGGGUAAAUACAUCCAGACCCUGCCAGGAUUAGGGCAAGAGGGAGUGCUCUGGGCCGGCAGAUCUUUUUCGGAAAUUCUCACUUCUUGGAGCACUAAAGGGUUGUUAGUCUAUCUGGGCAAGCCUCGUUUCCCUGGAGAAAAUGGAGUCUCAGAGAUUAGUGACUGGUCCUAGAGCUAAUGAGUGACCAAAGUGUGACCAGAGCCCAGGUCUGCUUCUCAACCCAGGGCACUUUGAUUCCAGAUUGAGAUGUAAGGUGACAGGUGCCUUAAUAGUGGCGCAAAAGAUGUGCAUUCCCCUCUUCCUCCCUCCCCGCUCCCUGCUCCCCCAGCGGCACCCUGACCUUCCUCAAAUGCAGAAUCAAGAUUUCAGCAGGGGGGCCAGCCCUUUCCCUGCCCCACCCUCCUCGAAUUCAGUGACUCAGGAGUGGGAAGGGGGUUAGCUAUGCCCUUAGAAGGGGGCCAGCUUCUGCAGAGGCCACUGGAAAACUCAUCAGGAUUCUCACUCACAAAGCCACUGCCACAUUCUAAGUAGGAAGUCGGAGUUGGAAAUGAGGCUGGUGUGAGACACAAUAAAUGGCUCAUCGCCAGGAAACUGGGGAGUAGGGCGGCCAAGGGAGGGCGGCGAGCGUGGAAUCCCAAGGCUAAGUCACGUCCCUCCCAUCCUCAGGACUGGGCUGUUGCUCUGGUGAGAUGAAUGAAGAUCCUGCUCCACGGCGUCACAGGUGGAUGCUUACAUAGAAUGCCGGGCUCUGGGGGACUUGACGUGGUUUCAGCCGCUGCAGCAUCGCCCCACAGAGAUUCUGUGCUCUUCCUGUUCACCAGCCCGCUGUCUGCCAUGGGGAUUGGUCACGUGUUAACCACCUUUCGUUCAAGCUGUUUCGGGAUCAGACUUUUCCUUCUCUGGUACAUGGGAGACCUUUCCUCUCUGCAGCUCCUGAAUGUACAAAGCCCCUGGUGCCUACCCGUGGUUACUGUGUGUGUGUGUGUGUGUGUGUGUGUGUGUGUGUGUCUGUGCGCGCGCGCGCGCGUGCGUACACCUGGGAACGGUUAUGCACACCCUCACAGGACUGCAUCCACACAAGCUACUCGGCGUGGUGGGCUGGGCCGAGAGACAGUCAGCUGGUCUCUUUGCUAAGCUACCAGAAGUCGGCUAACAAAAUGAAAAAACUUCUCCAGCAGGGGGCGCUGGUUCCUAAGUCAGAGAAAGGAUUUCGGGGAACACAAGGUUAGACACUUUCUGGUGCAGUCCCCACAAGCCACCUUAGGCUUUAAAGUCAACUUGACACGUCCCACGAGGAAGGGGGCAGGUGAGAUGUGAUACGUUCAGGAAUCAACGACCCUACGGGAGCAGCUACAGUGACAGCAGUAGCUAUGGUAACCAACGUACAAAGCUGGGCUGUGAACUAGCUGUUGGAGUCGUUUCAGCAAGCGCGUCCUGAAGCAGUGCCGUUGACGCCCCGCCCCUCGCUUCUCCAAUGCUGGAAUUGUAGCUCUCACUUCUCUCCUUGCCCUCUGUCCCCUUUUCCUAGGCACGGAUGCUUCAUCUCCCGAGGACCCGGGAGGCCUCCUGAGCCUUUGCUGAGCUUUCCCUGGUGCUCCUUUUUGCAGUCCAGCGAAUCCAGGGGACUGGGGCACACUGCAAGGGGUUGUGGUGGUGCUGGGGCUGCCAGAGGAGUGUCCCAACCAAGAAACUGGCGAAGCUGCAGACUCGACCUAGCAGUCCCCCACCUCUGGCCCACAGAGUUGGAGCCAGGCCCUGUCUUGGUUCUCAAUGCACUCAAAAGCUUAAAUCCUAGUAAACCCUCCACUGCGGAGCGAGAAAA